GGAAGUCCGGUGUAAGUCCGGCGCGGCCCCGCCACUGUAUGAGACUCGGAACUCGGUUCCGUGGGAUCGGCUCACGACGCCACUGGACGACAACGUCUGGGAAGGCGAGCCGCUCCGUCUCGAGCCAGGAGAC
RNAcentral lists this non-coding RNA (133 nucleotides) under Gemmatimonas sp. Lineage: Bacteria; Pseudomonadati; Gemmatimonadota; Gemmatimonadia; Gemmatimonadales; Gemmatimonadaceae. The record is from RNAcentral.